GACUGUGAUGGAUGGGGGUUGUGGGUGGGAGGGAACAGGGAACCAGGCUAGACACUCUCUCAGCCCCCCACCCCCAACUCAGGUUCGGCCGGGUGGAUGCGAUGGACGUUGUGCGCCUCCUGGCCCCAGACAAUGGGAUGGCACUUGUGGGCCUGGUCACCUCCAGGCUUGGCCAUGAGCUGGCGAGGCCUCCUGGGACCACAGCACCUUCCCCUUUCGAUACCAUGGACCACGAGGAGGACGAGACGGUGGGAGAGAGACACAGCAUGGAGAAGCCGGAAGAGAGGGAGGCAGCCCCUACAAGGUCGCCAAGCAGAGGUGAACACCAGGAGCUGCUAAGCUCUGUUCUGUGGACCUCAGGCAGUGAGGGGGAACAGGCUUAAGGUUAUACCUGGGAAACUUCAGAAGAGAUUACAACGCAGCGGGGAAGAGGAGGCCACUCAGAACUGUACCAACAAAGCCAGCACUUCCAAGUGGAAGGCGGAGGAGUCUGGAAGGCUGGGGAGGAAGGCGCCAGCAGGUGGGAGAUGCCGCUUUUCCCUAGAAGCCCUGCAUGAUGCUGCCCGGGGGCUCCUCUCCAGAGCUGCCAAGAAUUCUGGGCACCCAGGCGAACGGUUGAUUCAUUAAAACAAAAAAAAUAAUCCACCCAGAUUGUUGACCUGGUUCCCUGAUUCGACAUGGUCUCAGCACACUGUCUUCACAUUUUAUUUUGGGGGCAGGCUAAGUGUCCCAGGUGUGAGGGGGUCUGGGAUGUCAUGGCCCUGAGCCAUCUGCCUGCUUCCUCCUACCCAUGUUCAUUUCCAUGCCCGAUGGGGAGCCCAUUCACAUCAGUUGGACCUGCAGAUUCUGACAGCAGCUGGGCAGACGGCUGAUAUUUUAUUUUCAAUUAAAACACAG
RNAcentral lists this long non-coding RNA (897 nucleotides) under Capra hircus (goat). Its description in RNAcentral is "lncRNA (ENSCHIG00000002125.1)". The record is from RNAcentral. Lineage: Eukaryota; Metazoa; Chordata; Mammalia; Artiodactyla; Bovidae.